Molecule: ribosomal RNA, 484 nt
Filed under: uncultured bacterium
Lineage: Bacteria
Description: partial 16S ribosomal RNA
Rfam family: Bacterial small subunit ribosomal RNA
Source: RNAcentral
AUUGAACGCUGGCGGCAUGCUUUACACAUGCAAGUCGAACGGCAGCGCGGGCUUCGGCCUGGCGGCGAGUGGGGAACGGGUGAGUAAUGCAUCGGAACGUGCCCAGUAGUGGGGGAUAGCCCGGCGAAAGCCGGAUUAAUACCGCAUACGACCUGAGGGUGAAAGCGGGGGACCGAAAGGCCUCGCGCUAUUGGAGCGGCCGAUGUCGGAUUAGCUAGUUGGUGGGGUAAAGGCUUACCAAGGCGACGAUCCGUAGCUGGUCUGAGAGGACGACCAGCCACACUGGGACUGAGACACGGCCCAGACUCCUACGGGAGGCAGCAGUGGGGAAUUUUGGACAAUGGGGGCAACCCUGAUCCAGCCAUGCCGCGUGCGGGAAGAAGGCCUUCGGGUUGUAAACCGCUUUUGUUCGGGAAGAAAUCCUCUGGGCUAAUACCCCGGGGGGAUGACGGUACCGGAAGAAUAAGCACCGGCUAACUACGUG